AGUCGAGGGGUAUGGCUCUUCGGUGCCAGAGACCGGCGCACGGGUGCGUAACGCGUAUGCAAUCUGCCUUUCACAGAGGGAUAGCCCAGAGAAAUUUGGAUUAAUACCUCAUAGUAUAGUGAGUUGGCAUCAACACACUAUUAAAGUCACAACGGUGAAAGAUGAGCAUGCGUCCCAUUAGCUAGUUGGUAAGGUAACGGCUUACCAAGGCAACGAUGGGUAGGGGUCCUGAGAGGGAGAUCCCCCACACUGGUACUGAGACACGGACCAGACUCCUACGGGAGGCAGCAGUGAGGAAUAUUGGUCAAUGGGCGCAAGCCUGAACCAGCCAUGCCGCGUGCAGGAUGACGGUCCUAUGGAUUGUAAACUGCUUUUGUACGAGAAGAAACAACAUUACGUGUAAUGUCUUGACGGUAUCGUAAGAAUAAGGAUCGGCUAACUCCGUGCCAGCAGCCGCGGUAAUACGGAGGAUCCAAGCGUUAUCCGGAAUCAUUGGGUUUAAAGGGUCCGU
This 511-nucleotide ribosomal RNA is filed under the name Flavobacterium sp. FlavoEI_XT7Tr1BD7_B04_26. RNAcentral describes it as "bacterial SSU rRNA". It matches the Rfam family "Bacterial small subunit ribosomal RNA", at positions 60 to 572 of the family's 1533-position model. Lineage: Bacteria; Pseudomonadati; Bacteroidota; Flavobacteriia; Flavobacteriales; Flavobacteriaceae. The record is from RNAcentral.